UUCAGAUUGAUAGAUCCUGCAGACAUGACCAUGGCUUGUGGACAGAAUUAAUGAGAUGCUAUAAUUGCCGACACUGUUUACCUGCUAGUCUGGGAGUAUAUUUCAAAGGCAUGUGAAUUAGCCAUCGCCAGCUUUAUAAUUAGCGUGUGACAACUUUAAUUCCAAUGGCAUGUUUAAUCAACAGCAACAGAUGGAAGUGUGCCUGGUGGUUGUUCGGGUUGUACCUUCACCAAGGCUCCUUGUUGGAAUAAGAAGGAAAUGCAAGGCAUUCUUAGUUGGUUCCUAUUCCACAAACAUCAAGAAGAAAGAGAUAUAGUCUAAUGAGCAAGCAAACAAACAAAAAAAAAAACUU
This is a non-coding RNA of Microcebus murinus (gray mouse lemur), 352 nucleotides long. The record is from RefSeq and is a predicted model, not a curated record. Lineage: Eukaryota; Metazoa; Chordata; Mammalia; Primates; Cheirogaleidae.